AUUGAACGCUGGCGGCGUGCCUAAUACAUGCAAGUCGAACGCAGUGGGGACGGGUGAGUAACACGUGGGUAACCUCCCAUCAGAGGGGAUAACACUUGGAAACAGGUGCUAAACCGAUACUGAUGGAUGAACCCGCGGUGCAUUAGCUAGUUGGUGAGGUAACGACUCACCAAGGCCACGAUGCCUAGCCAACCUGAGGGGGUGAUCGGCAACACGGGGACUGGGACACGGCCCAGACUCCUACGGGAGGCAGCGGUAGGGAAUCUUCGGCAAUGGACGAAAGUCGAACCGAGCAACGCCGCGUGAGUGAGGAAGGUUUUCGAAUCGUAAAACUCUGUUGUUAGAGAAGCGGUAUCUAACCAGAAAGCCACGGCUAACUACGUGCCAGCAGCCGCGGUAAUAC
RNAcentral lists this ribosomal RNA (403 nucleotides) under uncultured bacterium. Its description in RNAcentral is "partial 16S ribosomal RNA". It matches the Rfam family "Bacterial small subunit ribosomal RNA", at positions 30 to 526 of the family's 1533-position model. The record is from RNAcentral.